RNAcentral lists this ribosomal RNA (811 nucleotides) under uncultured Flavobacteriia bacterium. RNAcentral describes it as "bacterial SSU rRNA". It matches the Rfam family "Bacterial small subunit ribosomal RNA", at positions 73 to 884 of the family's 1533-position model. Lineage: Bacteria; Pseudomonadati; Bacteroidota; Flavobacteriia. The record is from RNAcentral.
GGGGUAGCAAUACUCGCUGGCGACCGGCAAACGGGUGCGGAACACGUACACAACCUUCCUUAAAGUGGGGAAUAGCCCAGGGAAACUUGGAUUAAUACCCCGUAAUAUUAUUAGAUGGCAUCAUUUGAUAAUUAUAGCUCCGGCGCUUAAAGAUGGGUGUGCGGCUGAUUAGGUAGUUGGCGGGGUAACGGCCCACCAAGCCUACGAUCAGUAACUGGUGUGAGAGCACGACCAGUCACACGGGCACUGAGACACGGGCCCGACUCCUACGGGAGGCAGCAGUAAGGAAUAUUGGUCAAUGGACGCAAGUCUGAACCAGCCAUGCCGCGUGGAGGAUGAAGGUCCUCUGGAUUGUAAACUUCUUUUAUCUGGGAAGAAACCCAAGGUUUCUACUUUGGUUGACGGUACCAGAUGAAUAAGCACCGGCUAACUCCGUGCCAGCAGCCGCGGUAAUACGGAGGGUGCAAGCGUUAUCCGGAUUCACUGGGUUUAAAGGGUGCGUAGGUGGGCUAGUAAGUCAGUGGUGAAAUCUCCGGGCUUAACCCGGAAACUGCCAUUGAUACUAUUAGUCUUGAAUGUCGUGGAGGUAAGCGGAAUAUGUCAUGUAGCGGUGAAAUGCUUAGAUAUGACAUAGAACACCGAUAGCGUAGGCAGCUUACUACACGAAUAUUGACACUGAGGCACGAAAGCGUGGGGAUCAAACAGGAUUAGAUACCCUGGUAGUCCACGCCCUAAACGAUGGAUACUCGACAUCAGCGAUACACUGUUGGUGUCUGAGCGAAAGCAUUAAGUAUCCCACCUGGGAAGUACG